UCCAAAACAUAGCUACCAGAAAAAAUUAAUGGUGGUGAAACCUGCUCCAUGAUUUCCAUUUCCCAUAAAAACAUAAAAACAAUAAACAAAAUUAAAUAGCUGCGGUAACCGUGACCGUACUAAGGUAGCAUAAUAAAUCGUCUACUAAUUGUAGAAUAGAAUGAAGGUCACACGAAAAUUCAACUGUCUCAAAAAAACAAUUGUGAAAAUAAAAAGUACGUGAAUAUACGUACACUAACGGCAAGACGAUAAGACCCUACGAACUUUACCAAAAAUUUACAUUUCAUCAAAACAAAAAAAUAUAAAUAAUACGUUUCGUUGGGGCAACGACCUUAAAAAAGUAACUAAGGCUAAAAUAAUCAAAUCAAUAUAAGACCAAUUAAUCAAAAAUACAAAAGAUAAAACCCAUUACACACACCGAAAUAAUAAUGCAAAAAAAUAAAAGUUCCGUAGGGAUAACAGCGUAAUAUUAUUUCAAGAAAAUCAAUCUUAAAUAAAGAUUGCGACCUC
Molecule: ribosomal RNA, 510 nt
Filed under: Lophophysema eversa
Lineage: Eukaryota; Metazoa; Porifera; Hexactinellida; Amphidiscosida; Hyalonematidae
Description: partial small subunit ribosomal RNA
Rfam family: Bacterial large subunit ribosomal RNA
Source: RNAcentral